AGAAACGUUGUUUAAGCUGUUGUAGUUGACCACUUCACUUAUUUUUUGUUCUUGCAAAAUAUCUUAGUCCACAUUUGUUUUUAGCCAUUUCAUAUUUUCUCUUGACGGUUUUAGGCUAAAUUUUAGCAGAUUAUGGCCGCUAUGUAUCAACACUAAUGGAACAUAAGAGCCUUUAUGAAGUAAAUCUCCCUAAUUAACCUUUGUGGCUUGCUUAAAGAUUGAUGAUAUGUUAAAUUACAUGUCAUCCUAGAGAAACUAUUGUUAUGGAUGGUGGGUGUUUAAUGCAGAAGAUAAGGAUGGUGGGUGGCGGUGCAAAAGUGCUACCCUGCCACCUGCCGGUGGUGAAAGACCACCACGCGCGACCCGCACACAUUGUCGUACCUUUAGGUAUGUGACCUGGAUUGGUAAAAACUGCAAAAGGAGUUGUAGACGUGAUUGGAACAUAUGUAUUUUGGAAUGGAUGAGCCAUCACUUGAUUUUCUAAAAACAUCUAAAAGUGCUAGUACCUGGAUCAACAUUUCAUUCAGUAUCCUUCACAUGACU
RNAcentral lists this long non-coding RNA (543 nucleotides) under Helianthus annuus (common sunflower). The record is from RNAcentral. Lineage: Eukaryota; Viridiplantae; Streptophyta; Magnoliopsida; Asterales; Asteraceae.